CCAAUAGCGUAUAUUAAAGUUGUUGCAGUUAAAAAGCUCGUAGUUGAAUUUCGGGGUCAGUAGGUUGGUCGUGCCACCGGUACGUACUGGUCUCACUGAUUCCUCCUUCCUGAUGAACCGUAAUGCCAUUAAGUUGGUGUUGCGGGGAAUUUGGACUGUUACUGUGAAAAAAUUAGAGUGGUUAAAGCAAGCUAACGCUUGAAUACAUUAGCAUGGAAUAAUGAAAUAGGACGUUCGAUCCUAUUUUGUUGGUUUCUAGGAUUGACGUAAUGAUUAAUAGGGAUAGUUGGGGGCAUUAUUAUUCAAUUGUCAGAGGUGAAAUUCUUGGAUUUAUUGAAGACUAACUACUGCGAAAGCAUUUGCCAAGGAUGUUUUCAUUAAUCAAGAACGAAAGUUAGGGGAUCGAAGACGAUCAGAUACCGUCUUAGUCUUAACCAUAAACUAUGCCGACUAGGGAUCGGAUGAUGUUAAUUUUUUAAUGACUCAUUCGGCGCCUUACG
This 500-nucleotide ribosomal RNA is filed under the name uncultured Glomeromycotina. RNAcentral's name for it is "partial small subunit ribosomal RNA". It matches the Rfam family "Eukaryotic small subunit ribosomal RNA", at positions 591 to 1092 of the family's 1831-position model. Lineage: Eukaryota; Fungi; Glomeromycota. The record is from RNAcentral.